GACGAACGCUGGCGGCGUGCCUAAUACAUGCAAGUCGAACGAGAGCGACCGGUGCUUGCACUGGUCAAUCUAGUGGCGAACGGGUGAGUAACACGUGGGUAACCUGCCCAUCAGAGGGGGAUAACAUCCGGAAACGGAUGCUAAAACCGCAUAGGUCUUCGAGCCGCAUGGCUUGAAGAGGAAAAGAGGCGCAAGCUUCUGCUGAUGGAUGGACCCGCGGUGCAUUAGCUAGUUGGUGAGGUAACGGCUCACCAAGGCCGUGAUGCAUAGCCGACCUGAGAGGGUGAUCGGCCACAUUGGGACUGAGACACGGCCCAAACUCCUACGGGAGGCAGCAGUAGGGAAUCUUCCGCAAUGGACGCAAGUCUGACGGAGCAACGCCGCGUGAGUGAAGAAGGUUUUCGGAUCGUAAAACUCUGUUGUUAGAGAAGAACAAGUGCUAGAGUAACUGUUAGCGCCUUGACGUACCUAACCAGAAAGCCAC
Molecule: ribosomal RNA, 484 nt
Filed under: Granulicatella adiacens
Lineage: Bacteria; Bacillati; Bacillota; Bacilli; Lactobacillales; Carnobacteriaceae
Description: bacterial SSU rRNA
Rfam family: Bacterial small subunit ribosomal RNA
Source: RNAcentral